CUUCAGCGAGCCCAGCCAGAGCGGGCGGUCGGCGGGCCGGUGCUGGCCGUAGGUGGCGAGCAGGGCCUGGGCUUC
RNAcentral lists this antisense RNA (75 nucleotides) under Kitasatospora cheerisanensis KCTC 2395. Its description in RNAcentral is "ASpks TB sRNA". It matches the Rfam family "ASpks TB sRNA". Lineage: Bacteria; Bacillati; Actinomycetota; Actinomycetes; Kitasatosporales; Streptomycetaceae. The record is from Rfam by way of RNAcentral.